UCCAACAUCAGCAGUAUCUGAGCCCAAAGGAUCCUUAAAACAUACAGUGGAUCCAUCUCCCCUCAGCCUGCUCACUGUGCUGAGUACAGAGCACAGAGCAGCUUCUUCCCUCAGGCUGUAAUACUGAAGUUGUCCUCCGCGCUGCACCAUAAAUAACAUAAACUCCACAUACUCUCUGGGACGACAUGCGUUAGGUAUAUAUGCAUGUUGGAGACAAAGCAGUACAUGUAUCUGCCCUUUACCAUCAGGGUACAGAUGUCAUUGUUCAGUGUGUACGAUGAAUAUGACUGUCUUACUGUGGCAGGAGUAUUCGUCAGCGACUGAGAGUAUGAGGUACUGAACUGUGAUGUCUUUGUACCUUUUCACCAUGAGUGCAUGUGUACAGCUGUAUAUGUUUGUGUAUAUGUGUGACUUUGCACAACCCUGUCUUGUAAAACGACAAACGAAUUUACCUUGAAAUGUCAGUUAAAUUACCGUGACACUCCGCAGACUGCCACAACAAUCCUUCUGAUCUCUGCACCAGUCUGCCAACAGCGGUUGCUGUUUUUUUCUUUCUUUUUUCUUUUUUUUUCCCUGCCCGUUACCUAAAUCUUCAUUAGUUUACUUUAGUUUAGUCAUGUAUAGACCUGCGCCCAUGAGUCGAGUCCAGAACAUGGCAGGAAAGAAAAGGAGCUACCUGCCCUCCAUCACAGUGGCUAACCAGGUGGAUGAACCAGCAGCUUAGAUGCCUUCCAGACUGUUCAAGCAGACUGGAAUUUCAGGGAGAGACCUGAUAAUCACAUUCACAACAAACUGUGUAAUCCUGUCACAUCAUGGCAAAAGAAUGUGUGUUGUCUGGACACUUUCCUGCUCGCUGUGAGCCUUAUGUCCAUAUUACUGUCGUUCCCACCGUCCUGGUUGUUUACAGUUUUCCCUUGGCCAGCAACUCACUUGCAAUUGAUACGCACUCAUAGUCACUGUGAGACUACAGAUGCAGCAUCCGAACGCAUUGAUUUCCAUAUCUGGCGACUCUAACCCUUGUCACUGGAAACGGGAUGUACUAUGUAAUUCACAAGGAGAAUACUGAUGAUGUCCCAGGUUCUUCAAUAGUGUACGCCAACAUCCGUGCAGAUAACGUUGUUCUAAAAGAGACAGUCGCCAUUUUCUGACCACAAACCCUGAGUCACCUGAGCUGUCAAGGUCCUCACAUGAGAACAAUAGUGCGUUCAGAGAUGGGGGACAGCGAGGGGUUAAAGAAAAAAGCUUGAGGUGAGGAAUAAGCAGGACGAGGACAGCUGCAAGAGGAGAUGCUAGCAGAACAAUGAAGUUGUGUGGAGUGGGGUGAGAAGCAUCACAGUAACUCCACUCUGAGCGACUAAUAAAAUGCUCCUGCUCAAACCGAAAGACAGAGUGUGAGAUGUAUCUGGAUGCCAGACUGAAGGGACGCAGUGUGUGGGCCCCCCCUCAUGUUCCUUAAUGGACCGGGGCCUGUGUCUCUGCCUCAUGGUGACCAUAUCUGGUUCAAAUGUUGUCAGUCUUGCUCACAAAUUGAAAUAAUAAAAGCAGAAUGAACUCUGG
This is a long non-coding RNA of Acanthopagrus latus (yellowfin seabream), 1557 nucleotides long. RefSeq lists it as uncharacterized. The record is from RefSeq and is a predicted model, not a curated record. The transcript is spliced from 2 exons. NCBI's taxonomy places the organism in Eukaryota, Metazoa, Chordata, Actinopteri, Spariformes, Sparidae.